This 422-nucleotide ribosomal RNA is filed under the name uncultured bacterium. RNAcentral's name for it is "partial 16S ribosomal RNA". It matches the Rfam family "Bacterial small subunit ribosomal RNA", at positions 360 to 774 of the family's 1533-position model. The record is from RNAcentral.
AAUCUUCCACAAUGGACGAAAGUCAGCUGGAGCCACUCCGCGUGAGUGAAGAAGGUUUUCGGAUCGUAAAACUCUGUUGUUGGAGAAGAACGUAUUUUAUAGUUACUGAUAAGGCAGUGACGGUAUCGAACCAGAAAGCCACGGCUCACUACGUGCCAGCGGCCGCGGUAAUACGUAGGUGGCAAGCGUUGUCCGGAUUUAUUGGGCGUAAAGCGAGCGCAGGGGGUUUCUUAAGUCUGAUGUGAAAGCCUUCGGCUCAACCGAGGAAGUGCAUCGGAAACUGGGAAACUUGAGUGCAGAAGAGGACAGUGGAACUCCAUGUGUAGCGGUGAAAUGCGUAGAUAUAUGGAAGAACACCAGUGGCGAAGGCGGCUGUCUGGUCUGUAACUGACGCUGGGGCUCGAAAGCAUGGGUAGCAAACA